AGCAGCCGCGGUAAUUCCAGCUCCAAUAGCGUAUAUUAAAGUUGUUGCAGUUAAAAAGCUCGUAGUUGAAUUUCGGGAUUAGUACGCUGGUCGUGCCUUUGGUACGUACUGGUGUUACUGGUUCCUACCUUCUGAAGAACCGUCAUGUCAUUAAUUUGGUGUGGCGGGGAAUCAGGACUGUUACUUUGAAAAAAUUAGAGUGUUUAAAGCAGGCUCGCGCUUGAAUACAUUAGCAUGGAAUAAUGAAAUAGGACGUUUGAUCCUAUUUUGUUGGUUUCUAGGAUUGACGUAAUGAUUAAUAGGGAUAGUUGGGGGCAUUAGUAUUCAAUUGUCAGAGGUGAAAUUCUUGGAUUUAUUGAAGACUAACUACUGCGAAAGCAUUUGCCAAGGAUGUUUUCAUUAAUCAGGAACGAAAGUUAGGGGAUCGAAGACGAUCAGAUACCGUCGUAGUCUUAACCAUAAACUAUGCCGACUAGGGAUCGGAUGAUGUUAUUUUUAAUGACUCA
Molecule: ribosomal RNA, 506 nt
Filed under: Glomus sp. Glo2
Lineage: Eukaryota; Fungi; Glomeromycota; Glomeromycetes; Glomerales; Glomeraceae
Description: SSU rRNA
Rfam family: Eukaryotic small subunit ribosomal RNA
Source: RNAcentral